GGUGACCUGCGGAGGAUCAUUACCUAGAGUUGUAGGCUUUGCCUGCUAUCUCUUACCCAUGUCUUUUGAGUACCUUACGUUUCCUCGGCGGGUCCGCCCGCCGAUUGGACACUUUAAACCAUUUGCAGUUGCAAUCAGCGUCUGAAAAAACUUAAUAGUUACAACUUUCAACAACGGAUCUCUUGGUUCUGGCAUCGAUGAAGAACGCAGCGAAAUGCGAUAAGUAGUGUGAAUUGCAGAAUUCAGUGAAUCAUCGAAUCUUUGAACGCACAUUGCGCCCCUUGGUAUUCCAUGGGGCAUGCCUGUUCGAGCGUCAUUUGUACCUUCAAGCUUUGCUUGGUGUUGGGUGUUUGUCUCGCCUCUGCGUGUAGACUCGCCUCAAAACAAUUGGCAGCCGGCGUAUUGAUUUCGGAGCGCAGUACAUCUCGCGCUUUGCACUCAUAACGACGACGUCCAAAAGUACAUUUUUACACUCUUGACCUCGGAUCAGGUAGGGAUACCCGCUGAACUUAAG
This 514-nucleotide ribosomal RNA is filed under the name aff. Phoma sp. RNAcentral's name for it is "eukaryotic LSU rRNA". The stretch from base 163 to 316 matches the Rfam family "5.8S ribosomal RNA". Lineage: Eukaryota; Fungi; Ascomycota; Dothideomycetes; Pleosporales; Didymellaceae. The record is from RNAcentral.